Molecule: long non-coding RNA, 763 nt
Organism: Saccostrea cuccullata (small rock oyster)
Lineage: Eukaryota; Metazoa; Mollusca; Bivalvia; Ostreida; Ostreidae
Exons: 3
Source: RefSeq, a predicted model, not a curated record
UGGUUUUUGUUACAGGACAAUUUUGUGCAGAAUUUAAUUUAGGCGGAGCUAUAGUUCAGGAACACCACAAAACAAAUAGAACCUGCACUUCUUGUCCUUUUGUUUAUAACUCAACUGAGAGUUUUCGUUACAAUGAAUGCUUCAAAGGACUUCCAUCAACACCUACAGGUUCCACAAAACAAAAUAAGCUUCCUAUGUCAAUAGAUCAAUGGAUCGGGCAUGAAAGACAACCAGGAUGAGUUUGAUAUGGGAGACGAAUAAAAAAGUUUAGAAUGUGAAAACGAAGUUUUUAAAAUGAAACGAACAUUCGUUUUAAAAAAAGUUGAAUAUUAAUCAGCGAUUUAUGAAGAGAUACUGCAUCCUUUACAUAAAAUGAAUAAUUAAUGCAUACGCCAACAUAGGACAGAAGUGAAUCACAAGAUCCGUUCCUUCGGUCUCUUGGCACACAGAAAUGUCUACCCCGAUAUGUAUACAUGUACAUCAUACUGUUAAUGAUAUAUUAUUCUCCGUAUAUUGGAUGGAUAAAAACCCACAAAGGCCAGAUUUUAUCACUUGUUGAAAAGCAGAUGUUUCGUACCUCUUACCUCUUCCAAGCGGACUAUGACAUAGUUCUGUAAGCUUUGUAUUUAAAUUUCGAGGUAUUUGUAGAGACGUGUAUCUGAAUCGAAAUACCUUAAUUGAUAGAAAUGUGCAAUAUUGUUGAGUGCCAAUAGUUACUUUUGUUUAAUUCAAGAUCGAUAUGUUAUAUUGUGAUACUUUUUCG